This 24-nucleotide non-coding RNA is filed under the name Cricetulus griseus (Chinese hamster). The record is from RNAcentral. Lineage: Eukaryota; Metazoa; Chordata; Mammalia; Rodentia; Cricetidae. RNAcentral also lists the same sequence under 1 other name.
UAUUGCAGUACCUCCAGGAACGGU